RNAcentral lists this transfer RNA (87 nucleotides) under Pseudothermotoga thermarum DSM 5069. RNAcentral describes it as "Thermotoga thermarum DSM 5069 tRNA". It matches the Rfam family "tRNA". From Rfam's summary of the family: Transfer RNA (tRNA) molecules are approximately 80 nucleotides in length. Their secondary structure includes four short double-helical elements and three loops (D, anti-codon, and T loops). Lineage: Bacteria; Thermotogati; Thermotogota; Thermotogae; Thermotogales; Thermotogaceae. The record is from Rfam by way of RNAcentral.
GGAGGCGUGUCCGAAUUGGCUAAGGAGCCGGUCUUGAAAACCGGUGGGAGCGAAGCUCCCUUGUGGGUUCGAGUCCCACCGCCUCCG